GACGAACGCUGGCGGCGUGCUUAACACAUGCAAGUCGAGCGGUAAGGCCCUUUCGGGGGUACGACGAGCGGCGAACGGGUGAGUAACACGUGGGUGACCUGCCCUCAGCUCUGGGAUAAGCCUGGGAAACCGGGUACUAAUACCGGAUAUGACUCCAUGACGCAUGUUGUGGGGUGGAAAGACCUUGUGCGGCUGAGGAUGGGCCCGCGGCCUAUCAGCUUGUUGGUGGGGUGAUGGCCUACCAAGGCGACGACGGGUAGCCGGCCUGAGAGGGCGACCGGCCACACUGGGACUGAGACACGGCCCAGACUCCUACGGGAGGCAGCAGUGGGGAAUCUUGCGCAAUGGGCGAAAGCCUGACGCAGCGACG
Molecule: ribosomal RNA, 370 nt
Filed under: uncultured bacterium
Lineage: Bacteria
Description: bacterial SSU rRNA
Rfam family: Bacterial small subunit ribosomal RNA
Source: RNAcentral